GAUGAACGCUAGCGGCAGGCCUAACACAUGCAAGUCGAGGGGCAGCACGUCUUCGGAUGGUGGCGACCGGCGCACGGGUGCGUAACGCGUAUGCAACCUACCUCUUACAGUGGGAUAGCCCAGAGAAAUUUGGAUUAAUACCGCAUAGUAUACAGAUUCAGCAUUGGGACUGUAUUAAACAUUUAUGGGUAAGAGAUGGGCAUGCGUUCUAUUAGUUAGUUGGAGUGGUAACGGCACCCCAAGACAGCGAUAGAUAGGGGCCCUGAGAGGGGGAUCCCCCGACACUGGUACUGAGACACGGACCAGACUCCUACGGGAGGCAGCAGUGAGGAAUAUUGGACAAUGGGGCGAGGGAC
Molecule: ribosomal RNA, 356 nt
Filed under: uncultured bacterium
Lineage: Bacteria
Description: bacterial SSU rRNA
Rfam family: Bacterial small subunit ribosomal RNA
Source: RNAcentral